CCUACGGGAGGCAGCAGUGAGGAAUAUUGGUCAAUGGGCGCGAGCCUGAACCAGCCAAGUAGCGUGAAGGAUGACUGCCCUACGGGUUGUAAACUUCUUUUAUAAAGGAAUAAAGUGAGGCAUGUGUGCCUUUUUGUAUGUACUUUAUGAACAAGGAUCGGCUAACUCCGUGCCAGCAGCCGCGGUAAUACGGAGGAUCCGAGCGUUAUCCGGAUUUAUCGGGUUUAAAGGGAGCGUAGAUGGGUUGUUAAGUCAGUUGUGAAAGUUUGCGGCUCAACCGUAAAAUUGCAAUUGAUACUGGCAGUCUUGAGUACAGUUGAGGGAGGCGGAAUUCGAGGUGUAGCUGUGAAAUGCGUAGAUAUCUCGAAGAACUCCGAUUGCGAAGGCAGCUUACUAAACUGCCACUGACAUUGAUGCUCGAAAGUGUGGGUAUCAAACAGGAUUAGAUACCCGGGUAGUC
Molecule: ribosomal RNA, 460 nt
Filed under: uncultured bacterium
Lineage: Bacteria
Description: partial 16S ribosomal RNA
Rfam family: Bacterial small subunit ribosomal RNA
Source: RNAcentral